Molecule: ribosomal RNA, 447 nt
Filed under: uncultured bacterium
Lineage: Bacteria
Description: partial 16S ribosomal RNA
Rfam family: Bacterial small subunit ribosomal RNA
Source: RNAcentral
AACGAACGCUGGCGGCAGGCUUAACACAUGCAAGUCGAACGCAUCGCAAGAUGAGUGGCAGACGGGUGAGUAACGCGUGGGAACAUACCCUUUUCUACGGAAUAGCUCUGGGAAACUGGAAUUAAUACCGUAUACGCCCUACGGGGGAAAGAUUUAUCGGGGAAGGAUUGGCCCGCGUUGGAUUAGCUAGUUGGUGGGGUAAAGGCCUACCAAGGCGACGAUCCAUAGCUGGUCUGAGAGGAUGAUCAGCCACAUUGGGACUGAGACACGGCCCAAACUGCGACGGGAGGGAGCAGUGGGGAAGAGUGGACAAUGGGCGGAAGCCUGAUCCAGCCAUGGCGCGUGAGGGAUGAAGGCCUUAGGGUUGUAAAGCUCUUUCACCGAUGAAGAUAAUGACGGUAGUCGGAGAAGAAGCCCCGGCUAACUUCGUGCCAGCCGCCGCCGUAA